GACGAACGCUGGCGGCGUGCUUAACACAUGCAAGUCGAACGGAAAGGCCCUGCUUUUGUGGGGUGCUCGAGUGGCGAACGGGUGAGUAACACGUGAGUAACCUGCCCUUGACUUUGGGAUAACUUCAGGAAACUGGGGCUAAUACCGGAUAGGAGCUCCUGCUGCAUGGUGGGGGUUGGAAAGUUUCGGCGGUUGGGGAUGGACUCGCGGCUUAUCAGCUUGUUGGUGGGGUAGUGGCUUACCAAGGCUUUGACGGGUAGCCGGCCUGAGAGGGUGACCGGCGACAUUGGGACUGAGAUACGGCCCAGACUCCUACGGGAGGCAGCAGUGGGGAAUAUUGCACAAUGGGCGGAAGCCGGAUGCAGCAACGCCGCGGGCGGGAUGACGGCCUUCGGGUUGUAAACCGCUUUCGCCUGUGACGAAGCGUGAGUGACGGUAAUGGGUAAAGAAGCACCGGCUAACUACGUG
This 468-nucleotide ribosomal RNA is filed under the name uncultured bacterium. Its description in RNAcentral is "partial 16S ribosomal RNA". It matches the Rfam family "Bacterial small subunit ribosomal RNA", at positions 28 to 507 of the family's 1533-position model. The record is from RNAcentral.